Molecule: ribosomal RNA, 512 nt
Filed under: uncultured bacterium
Lineage: Bacteria
Description: bacterial SSU rRNA
Rfam family: Bacterial small subunit ribosomal RNA
Source: RNAcentral
AUCCUGGCUCAGGAUGAACGCUAGCUACAGGCUUAACACAUGCAAGUCGAGGGGCAGCAUUGAGAUAGCUUGCUAUUCAGAUGGCGACCGGCGCACGGGUGAGUAACGCGUAUCCAACCUUCCCUAUAGUAGAGAAUAGCCCGGCGAAAGUCGGAUUAAUGCUCUAUAUGUUCUAUUGAUGGCAUCAGAGAUUGAACAAAGAAUUUCGCUAUAGGAUGGGGAUGCGUCUGAUUAGCUUGUUGGCGGGGUAACGGCCCACCAAGGCAACGAUCAGUAGGGGUUCUGAGAGGAAGGUCCCCCACAUUGGUACUGAGACACGGACCAAACUCCUACGGGAGGCAGCAGUGAGGAAUAUUGGUCAAUGGGCGCAAGCCUGAACCAGCCAAGUAAGCGUGCAGGACGACUGCCCUAUGGGUUGUAAACUGCUUUUAUAGGGGAAUAAAGUGAGGUAUGUAUACCUUUUUGUAUGUACCCUAUGAAUAAGGACCGGCUAAUUCCGUGCCAGCCGCCGC